Macaca mulatta (Rhesus monkey) is the source of this 459-nucleotide non-coding RNA. Lineage: Eukaryota; Metazoa; Chordata; Mammalia; Primates; Cercopithecidae. The record is from RefSeq and is a predicted model, not a curated record.
CUUGCGCAAGAGGGUGGGGUUUCUUCCCGCCCCCUUGGCCAGCUGGAAGAGCGGUUACGGGAAUGAAACCCCGGGAUGAUCUUAAAAAACAGGGUGAACCAUAAGGCUAAGGGCCCAACAUGAUUUCCAGGAAAGAAACUAGCUCAGAGAAGGAAACACCUCAGGAGAGCACCAGCUUACUCUUUCCGUGUGAAAAAAUACACUUGUCCCAUGAUCCUCCACAAGGCAGGAGAUGGAGGAAAUAUUGCAGGAGUCUCUAUGCUGAAGUCUUUGUUAACAGCAUGACUAUGGAUGGACAGUGACUGGCAUUUAAUUUUGACGUGAGGAGGGUGGAGAAGCCAGCAAUACUCAGUGCCUCUAUUAAAGUGAAGGGAAAGACACAUGGUGUCUUUUCUUGCUGCCGCUUGUGUAGCUGGGAAUGGGUUGUGGUAAAGUCAAUAAAAUUAUUCAACAUCCGUC